UGGGGAAUUUUGGACAAUGGGCGAAAGCCUGAUCCAGCAAUGCUGCGUGUGUGAAGAAGGCCUUCGGGUUGUAAAGCACUUUUGUCCGGAAAGAAAUCCUCUGGGUUAAUACCUCGGGGGGAUGACGGUACCGGAAGAAUAAGCACCGGCUAACUACGUGCCAGCAGCCGCGGUAAUACGUAGGGUGCAAGCGUUAAUCGGAAUUACUGGGCGUAAAGCGUGCGCAGGCGGUUUUGUAAGACGGAUGUGAAAUCCCCGGGCUUAACCUGGGAACUGCAUUCGUGACUGCAAGGCUAGAGUAUGGCAGAGGGGGGUAGAAUUCCACGUGUAGCAGUGAAAUGCGUAGAGAUGUGGAGGAAUACCGAUGGCGAAGGCAGCCCCCUGGGCCAAUACUGACGCUCAUGCACGAAAGCGUGGGGAGCAAACAGGAUUAGAUACCCUGGUAGUCCACGCCCUAAACGAUGUCAACUAGUUGUUGGGGAUUCAUUUCCUUAGUAACGUAGCUAACGCGUGAAGUUGACCGCCUGGGGAGUACGGUCGCAAGAUUAAAACUCAAAUGAAUUGACGGGGUCAUAGCUGUUUCCUG
This 586-nucleotide ribosomal RNA is filed under the name uncultured bacterium. Its description in RNAcentral is "partial 16S ribosomal RNA". It matches the Rfam family "Bacterial small subunit ribosomal RNA", at positions 355 to 1376 of the family's 1533-position model. The record is from RNAcentral.